UACGAAGGGGGCUAGCGUUGCUCGGAUUCAUUGGGCGUAAAGGGUGCGUAGGCGGCGCGGUAAGUCGGGUGUGAAAUCUCGGAGCUUAACUCCGAAACUGCAUUCGAUACUGCCGUGCUUGAGGACUGGAGAGGAGACUGGAAUUUACGGUGUAGCGGUGAAAUGCGUAGAUAUCGUAAGGAAGACCAGUGGCGAAGGCGGGUCUCUGGACAGUUCCUGACGCUGAGGCACGAAGGUCAGGGGAGCAAACAGG
RNAcentral lists this ribosomal RNA (253 nucleotides) under uncultured bacterium. RNAcentral describes it as "partial 16S ribosomal RNA". It matches the Rfam family "Bacterial small subunit ribosomal RNA", at positions 524 to 776 of the family's 1533-position model. The record is from RNAcentral.